Molecule: ribosomal RNA, 253 nt
Filed under: uncultured bacterium
Lineage: Bacteria
Description: partial 16S ribosomal RNA
Rfam family: Bacterial small subunit ribosomal RNA
Source: RNAcentral
UACGUAGGGGGCAAGCGUUGUCCGGAUUUACUGGGUGUAAAGGGGGCGCAGACGGCGAUGCAAGCCAGGAGUGAAAGCCCGGGGCCCAACCCCGGGACUGCUCUUGGAACUGCGUGGCUGGAGUGCAGGAGGGGCAGGCGGAAUUCCUGGUGUAGCGGUGAAAUGCGUAGGUAUCAGGAGGAACACCGGUGGCGAAGGCGGCCUGCUGGACUGCAACUGACGUUGAGGCCCGAAAGCGUGGGGAGCAAACAGG